Molecule: long non-coding RNA, 7611 nt
Organism: Lycium barbarum (goji berry)
Lineage: Eukaryota; Viridiplantae; Streptophyta; Magnoliopsida; Solanales; Solanaceae
Exons: 2
Source: RefSeq, a predicted model, not a curated record
UCUGGUAAACAUACUUUAUUAGAUUUCUACAUUCUGUUUUAUGCUUUCACUACAUCCUCCAGUGUGUGUCGCACUGUCGCUUACAUGGUAAUUGUCCUUUGUGCUUUGAUCAAUUGAAUAGAUACUACGAAGCAGCAGAUUUCAGUUUAAAUCACCGUCAUGGAAAUUAUUCAUUGUGUAAAAUUUAUUUAUGGGCGUUCACAAAACUAAUGUCUAUUUUCAUUAUUACUAACUUUGUUAAUGAAGAUGCCUGGUUGCCUUGCCUCAUUCAUUUGUUUUUCGUAUCAUUGCAGUGAAUGCAUCAUCAGCCAGUUACUUUGUAUCAUUUCUGUGUACAUUAACGCACCACCAACAAUAUUCUUUUAACCUAUACAUCAUCUACUUAUGCAUUCAUUUUUUUUUCUUAUUAUUGCAGUGAAUGCAUCAUCAACCAAUUACUUCAAAUCAUCUCUGAAUACAUUCAUGCCCCACCAGUAACAUUCUUUUAACUUUUAACCUAUAUGGGAUCUACUUAUGGAAUAUAUAGUUGAUUGUACAUUCUCUUUCCAGAUAUUUCUUGCUCCGGAAUUCUUAUGUCCAUAUAGAGAAAAUUUUGAUAGAGAUUCUAGGAAGUUCAUACUGUAGUAUUGGUGGAAUUAAACGCUUUGUUGGAAGCAAAUAUUUCUUCAACCAUGAUCUCUGAGGUGUAUUUUCUAUAGGUACCGCCUCGUACUCAUCAUACUUUCAUAUUCUAAGCAGCCAACCCAUUGACUCAACUUUUGUCUGUAGCCAUAGUAUAUAUGUCCAUAGGACUUCCAUGGCAAUGCAUCCUUUCUGUCUUUGGAAAUGUUAUAAGCUAAGCUCUAAAGUCAUAUCAUUUGCUUGCAUAUUUGGCAAAGGCAUCCUUUGUCUGUCUACAAUAUUUUGUUUGUGGAACUGAGGUGUUGUUGUUGUUGUUGUUUUACCUUUGUGGAACUUUAAGUACCCGUUAGAUAACGGCUGCUAAUUUAAUGUUACCUCAAGAAACCUUGGGUUCUUAUUGCAUUGGGUAUUUCUUUUUUUUUUUUGGUUCGUGUUGUUCUCCUGGAGAAAGUAAUUGCUUCAAAAUUGUGCCUCCUGGGUUGUAUAGAAUUGGAGCCAAUGCGCUCUGAUCACGCUAAAUGACUGUUGGGACUCAGGGUCAGGGAGUUGUCUUAGAAAGGCGACAUAAUGGUCAGAAAUCGCCACUGUAUUCUGAAUUCAGAGUUCCCAUUUGUUCAUCUGGGAUUUCACAUUCUUCAAAAGAAUGUUGGGUUAUUUCAACCGAUCUAAAAAAAGAGAGAAAAUGUUGGGUUUUUAUUGAUUUCCUUGUAAGGAUUCUGAAUCGUUAAUCUUUGAUAUGUCAUUUUUUUAAUAACUAAUAACUAGAAGAUUUCAAAGUUCUAAGAGACGAAGAAGGAAAUAAGUAAUCAUAAGAAGAUUCAGCGAUGGCUGCUAGAGUUUGUUGUGUUUUCCAGAGAAUUUACAUAGAUGUUAGAAAAAAUUCCUGUUUUUGGGUCUAUUUUAAUCAUAUAAUUUUUUGUUUCCAACAAAUUCUUUAGGUUGUCGUCUUUUCUUCUAACUUGUUUGAGAAUGGAGUGUAGUAGUAGCAGUUGUUUUCAUCUUUUCUUAAGGGUUUCAGUCUAAGAAUCUAAUAGUGGUUAUUUUAUAGAUUCCAAUGUGGAGGGGGAAUGUUCUUGGGUUAAUUGAUUAUAAUUUUAAUGGCUAUUUCUUCUUAAUAUCUGGUCUCUAUUCAAAAUUUAAUGCUACCUAUGGCCCUUUUUUUAAUGUACAACUAGCCUACGAUUAACACAUUAAAACUAUACUAGAACAAAUAGAGUAAAGACUAAAGUUAAUUGAAGAUUGUAUUUCCUAGAGAUGAGAACCUCAUUGUCCACACAGUAAUCUUAACAGGUCACUUAAGCAUCUUGUCUCCUAUUUUUUCCGUUCGUAUUAUCUCGUUCGUUUGUUGUCACUGUUGCUGUUUUUGUUGGUGUGUGCUCUUUAGUUGUACUGGUGCACGGAUCAAAACAGAUUAAAGGAGGUCAUAACUCAGAAGGUAAAUGUUUUCAGCUGCAGUAGGCGCGUUUAUGUACAUGUAUCACUAACUUGGAGUUGAUAUCCUUGUCCUUUAAUCCAUCACUAGCGAUGGCAAUUGGGGCAGUGCAAGAAUUCACCCGCUAAGACUUUGACCCCCCCUGCCCUUCCGCGUUUACUAUUUUUCCAAAAUUUUGCCCUGACCUAUCAAACCGUGCCCCGCCCUGCCCUGUUUGUACUCUCUUCGUUUUUCUCUCGAUCUUUGCUGGUAUCAUAGCUUAAAAUGGAAAUGUAAAACCAGUUUUAAGAAUGAUCCCAUUUGGAAAUUGUUUUGUCAUCAUUUUCUGUGCUGGAAUUUUGAAAUUUGCUAUUUUCAGAAUUAUCAAUUUACUCCCUCCGUUCACUUUUACUUGCCCACUUUGGACUUUUCACACUGUUUAAGAAAUAAUAAAUGGAGUAUUACCAAUGUACCCAAAUUAAUUGAUACAUAUUUUUAUUGAAUUUGAAUAUGAUUUGAAGUGAGUAAUUAAUACUAUGGGUAAAAUAGGAAAAAAUAAAUUGUCUUACCUUGAUAUGCUAAAAGUGACAAGUAAAAGUGAAAAUCUAUUUUUAUAAUACUGGACAAGUAAAAAUGAACGGAGCGAAUAGAAUUUAGAUACCAUAGAGCUUAUGUAUUUUCCAUCUGACAAAGAGAGCAGUUCUUUAAGCUUUAAGAGGAAUUCUUGCUCAGUUUCUUGGUGUUUGGUUUGUUCGUUUAUUCUGAGUCUCUUGCUCUAUCUGGUCAUCUUAAUCAACAUUUAAAAAAAGAAAAUAUAAAAAUCAAUCCUUUUCCUUUUCGUCCUUUUUCAAUGAGUCCAAAAGUUUAAACAUGUGUAUGAAUAUUUUCUUUCUUCAUAUAGCGUAUCCCAGUUUCCCAAUUUGUUGAAAAGUGUUGAAAUUACACGUCUAGUGACUACUUUUUCUCACAGCUUUUAUUUACAAGGAAAAAAGAAAUCAAAACUAAAAACAAUAGCACGUUAGAAAAUUACGAAUUUAUUUUAUGUGUCACGUUAAGAAAUAUGGUUAGAACACAGCAUUACAUGAACCCAUAUUGCAAUUUUUUGGUUGGGACACAGCAUAACACUGCCAUCAUUUGGGCCUGGGACUAUUUUUCUACAAAACCCACCACCUUCCCUGCCUCGUUUAAGUGUCCAGCAAAAUAAAUUUGAGAAAAUUACACUCUAUGUUAAUUAGGGCAACAAUACUAUCAAAAUUGACCCAUUUUUUUAAUUCUUACAAAAAAAUGACUCAAACUUUUCUCUCUCACUCUCUCUCUCUCCUCUCUCUCUCUCUCUCUCUCUCUGACUGUCUGCUUAUAUGUUGGUAUAAGUGUAUGUAUAUGUAUGUAUAUAUUUGUAUAUUUUGAGCUAUUUUUUGUUAUGUAAAUUUUAGGCUAUUUUUUUUCCAAUGUAAGUGACUAACUUGUAUAUUUCUGAAAUUUUCCCAAAUAAAUUUUGGCCCCGCCCCGCCCCGUUUAAGUCUUUCCUUGCCCUGCCCGGUUAAGAAUUUGGCCCACACUGCCCCACCCUGCCCUGCCCCAAUUGCCAUUCCUGACCAUCGGUAAACUGGACUUGAAAAGUUAAAUAGGGAAAAAUAGUGUGCUCAAGAGGUACAUUUCUGUCAGAAUGUGGUAAUUAUUUCGCCACUUCAGUUUUAAAGGACCUAAGUUGAGUUUACUGCAGUCUAUCUUCCGUAUUUUGUAUGUUUCUUGACUAUCGUGAGCUAGCAGCCUAGCCUAUGAAUCAAAAGUGAUAAUCCGUCAGGAUGUACAUGUUAAAGAGGGGUGAUGGUGUUGUGACAAAGUUAUACUUAGAAUUACAAUUUUUACAUAAUUCAGUUGUAGGUCAGGAUGCAUGCCAGUUAACGUUCCAAAUUCUGAUAAAAAGAAAUUGUGUGUACUUUGAAUGUUACCUCCUUUUUCUGGUUAGAUUGACAAGUCUGGUAGUGGCUGGUCAUUGCCUGUGAUGUUCUAUAUUGUUGACAGGAGAUGCAUGAAAUAUUAUCUCAUGCAUGCUGAGUUUGGACUCCAUGCUUUCAUCUGUGGUUUUCAAUCCUGGUGCUUUUUUCUCUGUAGACGCUCCUUUUUUAACUCCACUGCUUCUGUUUUUGCUUUCUUGAUUUGCCAAGUAUAAUAAAAUCAAUAAGUGGUGCAAUGAAUAACAUUGAUCAGAGUUAAACAGUAAAGUGAAAUUAGGGAAAUAAUGUUUUACACUUCCACAAAAACAAGUAGCAAAGCGACCUGAAGGAGGAUCUCCAAGUUGGAGAUUUCUUCUCCUUCAGAAAAAGAAAAUAUGGCUACAGCUUCCGAGUUUAAACUUUAAAGACUUCCUGUUUAAUUUGUAACUAAUGCCUGCAAGAAUUCCUGUAAAAGCUUAAUAACUGAUAGAACGCCUAAAUACUUAUUGAAAUCCUUAUAAAGUUUAACGAGCAAUUUUGGAUGCACCCGUCUUUUAAAGAGCAUAACAAAUGCAUAUUACUUCCAUUUAGGUGUAUCAUAUGAUUAGGAAGGUUUUAAUACCUAUGGAAAAAUAACUGCUUUAAGAAGUUCUAACCAACUUUGCUUUCGGUCUGCAUCACUAAAUUGUUUCCUGUUUCUUUUUCUUUCCUUGUAUCAGUUCUACUUUUGUGAUCCGCUUCUCUUUCCUCUUCUGUUUCCUCCCCUCUUGGUGGUAGCUUCUUUCUGUAUAUGUCGUCUCAGCUUCUUCUUUAUGAAAUGGUAAAUAUAACAUCGAAUUAUCAACCAUGUUUGUCCUUUCAUUUCCUCUGCGUGUUAUCUGUCUUGCCUUGUCUUCCCUCAAACUUAUCCAAUUUUGUGUUUCUUGUUCAUGGAAGUAUGGAACAAAAGCAAGGGAUCAUCGUUGUUGUUGUCACCCGAUGUUAGGUUUGCGACUUUUAUGUUUCUCUUUUAUGAUUAUAAAACUUCUUCUGCACUGAUCUUCUUGUUCUUUUGGUUUCUGCAUUAUUCGCGCUUGAACAACAUGGAGCGGGCCGUUUGGGGAAUUAGGGGAAAAUCAUAUGGUUCCUGCCUUAACUAAUACUCUGCUUUAAAUGGGCCUUUAGGGGCUCUGGCUAAAAAAGCAAGGCAAAGCUUUGAGGCUAAUCCAAACAAGACCGCAUAGCACAGUGGAUUAGUGCUUUUGACUUCGGAUCAAAGGCUUUGCGGCUAUUCCUCGAGUAGAUACGAAUGCUAAAUUUCCUGCAAGAACAUUUGAUAGUGGAGAAUUUUGUUCCCCUAGCAUGUUGAUGGAUCAAUAGCAAUUCUCAUUGUAUACUUGCGCUGAAGUUGUUUGUAUACUUGAUCCUUUUUAGGAUGAACUUACUGUUUGGCGGUGCGGAACUUUGGAGAGUGGUGGAAAGGUUCCUUUCGGAAGAAGAUUUAAGACGAAAGCUAGAGGAGGAGAGGAUAAGACUUGGACUUUUAAGAAUUCAUCAGUUAUCACCGCAAAUGGCUUCCAAGUUUGGUUCCUCCAGAAGCACUCAUUCAGACCAAAAGAUGAGUUUCUCCUCCAUUCAUUUGGUGUUAUUCUCAAGGGUCUUCUUCUUUUUCGCCGUGACAUCUAUAAUUAAGAAUGCCUUUUAGUGACCAUGUAAUAUUAGAUGAAUGUUUCUUGGUAGUGAGUUAUUGAAACGUUAGGUACAAUAGAAUUAGUAUUUGAAUUAGGAAAAGCAAUAGGAAUAGUGCAGAAGAAAACCAAGAAAAUGAGAGCUAGCAGUUGCGAACUUAUGUAGACUUCCGUGGAGGAACACCUCAAGGUGCCAUAAAACUAACACAUUAAAAAUAUUUGAUGGUUAUGGAUAUGAAGGGCAUGAGAAUCCAUUUACUGCAUGCUUGAAUCUCAUGAAUUGGUUGACUUUUUCCAAACUUAUGAUUUGUCAAUGUUCGUCAUUUUCCAUGUUUGUGGAACCAAUCAUGAAUUAGCAGAUAGUCUCCUCCAGAUAAAUGAGCCUUCAAUCGUAAAAGAGUAAUUCGACUAAUUUCAAGUGAACAUCUUGAAGAUGGGCCUUGGAUCAACGAAGAAGCGCUGGAUCGACUAAUUAUAAGUGAACAUCAUGUUUUGACUCUUCUUAGUAUUCUCCACCACAGUUCCCACAUUCAAAAAAUAGAGAAAAUGGCACAAUGUACUAACCAUGACACACAAUUGGCAUACAUUAGCCAUGUUCUAAGAAGAUGGCACAAAAUGGACAUUUCACCCGUUUUGGGCCAUUAAAAAUAGUACCAGAUGACCCAUAAACCACCGAGUAAAUAUAGCUGAUCAUACCGUGCAUUCCCCAUUCUCGCUCCUACAAUGUUUCCUUCUCUCUUGUUUCUUCCCCUAAAAUCUCUCCAUUAGCACCGUGUAUCUCUGGAAGUAGAUAUAUUCUAAUCCCUAACCAUAGCUUUUGUAUACUGAUACCGUAUAAUUUCUCAAAAGAAUUCCAGGACCUUGUACUCAGAAUUUGGGAUACACAGUUGAUACCUCUUUUUGAGCGAUUUUGUUGAUUUUUAUUGCUAGUUCAAUGGGGAAGAACAGUGCCUCCAAGAAAGCUGUCAACAGUUCGUCUACAUUUGGAUUAAUGAUUCCAAGUUUGCGGGUUCAGUAUCCAUAUCUAAUUUCAUCACAUGCAAGGUCUUCUCGAUAUGAAAUUCGAAGUAAAAGAAGGGAGGAAACUGAACAAAUUCAAGCAAAGGGGAAAAAUAUUGCAGUAGCGCUGUUAGCCAUCAGACACUGAGCGUUAAAUCGCCAAAGAGGAAGAAUGUAUUAAAUGAGGAGGAUGGCAACGAGGGUGUCAAGCCCGCGAAGAGAAAGGCAAAACAAAAACUAGGGGAUGAACUCGCAAAUUGCCGAUUAAAGGAGUGGGGUUAUUAUGUCCGAAAAGACAAGCAAUUCCUAAGUUCUCGCUGGAGCUCCCAUAUAAAUAUGGGGGUUGUGAAUUCAUUAUGAUUAAAACUUAACAAAGUUCAGGUUAACAGAUUUAGGCAGAUAUUUUUUGGGUACUUCCUUGAUAUGCCAGAAGUCAUGUCCAAAACCAAGUGAUAUGUUCCCUAAUGAGAAGGGAGCUGGUUCAUGAUCAGGAUGACCUGUUUUAUGUCAAAAUAGACGGAACCAGAUUGUGUUUUGGAUUAAAAGAAUUAUCCAUAGUAGCUGAUUUGGUUUGUUGUGUGUAGGAGAGGUCGAUCGUGUAGACAAUUAUACUGCUUCAAACAGCUUUUGUGUACUUCUUUAAUAUGCCAGAAAUCCAUGUCCAGAACUAAGUAAUACGUUGCCGAGUAUUUCAUCCACCAGCGCGCAACUUUGUUGCUGAUCAGCACCGAAACAGAAUCACCACAUUACUGUGAGAUUAUGGAAAAACAACAAUAAGUUGUUGACAGUGAACUAGAGUUCACCAACAGAAUCUACAAGAGAAGGAAGGUGCAUCACGAAAAAAAAAAAUGAUUGUAUCGUUCAAUAUACUUGAUAUCGUUUUGGAUGUAAAUACUAGUAAUAUUUAUUUUGUUGAUAUUUUUUUUUCCUAAUGCGCUUAAUAUGAUUGUGAAGGAAAUAAAUGUCUUACUGCUUA